AUCUAAAGAUUUGUUUUUUAAAAUAAAUUAUAUUUGAAAAAUAAUUGAGAAGAUAAGUAAACAAAAUAAACUUCGGAAAGGCUAGGAUGUACGAUUAACACCUCGAUUAUAAGCGUGCAAACAAUAUUAUGUUAAUAAAAUAUAGGGUAAACUUCAAAUACCACUCCUAUGGUUUCGCACUUUCUCACUUUAGUUUCCUAUGGUUUAAAGUGUAUUAAGUUGGUAUUUUGUAGUUUCAUUUUUAUCUUUUCAUCAGCUUUUCCGUUAAUAUUUCGUUAAAUUAUAUAUAAAAAAACUUCAGAUACCCCACUUAGAUUUACCGAAUAUUCACUUUAGUAACCUUUAGUUUUAACUUUAUAACUGAUUUAAUGAAAAAAUUAGUAGAAUCGAUAAUAAAAAGAUAAAAAUAAAACCACAGGGUACUAAAUUUAUACACUUUAAAUCAUAGGAUACUAAAAUGAGAAAGUGUGAAACUAGGGAGGUAUUUGAAAUUUGUCCUAAAAUAUAUGCUAGUAUAACAUUAAAAU
RNAcentral lists this long non-coding RNA (527 nucleotides) under Ananas comosus (pineapple). Its description in RNAcentral is "long non-coding RNA (ACOM_LNC039149)". The record is from RNAcentral. Lineage: Eukaryota; Viridiplantae; Streptophyta; Magnoliopsida; Poales; Bromeliaceae.